This 497-nucleotide ribosomal RNA is filed under the name uncultured bacterium. RNAcentral's name for it is "partial 16S ribosomal RNA". It matches the Rfam family "Bacterial small subunit ribosomal RNA", at positions 28 to 507 of the family's 1533-position model. The record is from RNAcentral.
GAUGAACGCUGGCGGCGUGCCUAAUACAUGCAAGUCGAGCGAACGGACGAGAAGCUUGCUUCUCUGAUGUUAGCGGCGGACGGGUGAGUAACAGGUGGAUAACCUAGCUAUAAGACUGGGAUAAGUUCGGGAAACCGGAGUUAAUACCGGGUAAUAUUUUGAACCGCAUGGUUCAAAAGUGAAAGACGGUCUUGGUGUCACUUAUAGAUGGAACCGCGCUGCAUUAGCUAGUUGGUAAGGUAACGGCUUACCAAGGCAAGAAUGCAUAGCCGACCGGGGAGGGUGAUCGGCCACACUGGAACUGAGACACGGUCCAGACUCCUACGGGAGGCAGCAGUAGGGAAUCUUCCGCAAUGGGCGAAAGCCUGACGGAGCAACGCCGCGUGAGUGAUGAAGGUCUUCGGAUCGUAAAACUCUGUUAUUAGGGAAGAACAUAUGUGUAAGUAACUGUGCACAUCUUGACGGUACCUAAUCAGAAAGCCACGGCUAACUGCGUG